This 497-nucleotide ribosomal RNA is filed under the name uncultured bacterium. RNAcentral's name for it is "partial 16S ribosomal RNA". It matches the Rfam family "Bacterial small subunit ribosomal RNA", at positions 28 to 507 of the family's 1533-position model. The record is from RNAcentral.
GAUGAACGCUGGCGGCGUGCCUAAUACAUGCAAGUCGAGCGAACAGACGAGGAGCUUUCUCCUCUGACGUUAGCGGCGGACGGGUGAGUAACACGUGGAUAACCUACCUAUAAGACUGGGAUAACUUCGGGAAACCGGAGCUAAUACCGGAUAACAUGUUGAACCGCAUGGUUCAACAGUGAAAGACGGUUUUGCUGUCACUUAUAGAUGGAUCCGCGCCGCAUUAGCUAGUUGGUAAGGUAACGGCUUACCAAGGCAACGAUGCGUAGCCGACCUGAGAGGGUGAUCGGCCACACUGGAACUGAGACACGGUCCAGACUCCUACGGGAGGCAGCAGUAGGGAAUCUUCCGCAAUGGGCGAAAGCCUGACGGAGCAACGCCGCGUGAGUGAAGAAGGUCUUCGGAUCGUAAAGCUCUGUUAUUAGGGAAGAACAAAUGUGUAAGUAACUAUGCACGUCUUGACGGUACCUAAACAGAAAGCCACGGCUAACUACGUG